RNAcentral lists this ribosomal RNA (254 nucleotides) under uncultured bacterium. RNAcentral describes it as "partial 16S ribosomal RNA". It matches the Rfam family "Bacterial small subunit ribosomal RNA", at positions 524 to 776 of the family's 1533-position model. The record is from RNAcentral.
UACGUAGGGUGCGAGCGUUGUCCGGAAUUAUUGGGCGUAAAGAGCUCGUAGGCGGUCUGUCGCGUCGGUCGUGAAAACUUGGGGCUUAACCCUGAGCUUGCGGUCGAUACGGGCAUGACUGGAGUUCGGUAGGGGAGACUGGAAUUCCUGGUGUAGCGGUGGAAUGCGUAGAGAUCUCCAAGAACACCAGUUGCGAAGGCGGCUGACUGGACACAUAUUGACGCUGAGGCUCGAAAGCAUGGGGAGCAAACAGG